RNAcentral lists this non-coding RNA (23 nucleotides) under Arabidopsis thaliana (thale cress). The record is from RNAcentral. Lineage: Eukaryota; Viridiplantae; Streptophyta; Magnoliopsida; Brassicales; Brassicaceae.
AUACCGGAAAACUAGAGUCUCUC